This is a long non-coding RNA of Centrocercus urophasianus (Greater sage-grouse), 673 nucleotides long. RefSeq lists it as uncharacterized. The record is from RefSeq and is a predicted model, not a curated record. The transcript is spliced from 3 exons. Lineage: Eukaryota; Metazoa; Chordata; Aves; Galliformes; Phasianidae.
UGAAUUCUGCACCUAUGGAAGUGUGACAGGCUAAGCCUAAGGGAAAAGUAAGCCUUUUUCCCUGAGAGCUUCAGCUCACCACCACGGAAGGAGCACUCUCUUGCCACUUCAUGCAGAAUAAAGAAAACUGAUCAAAAUGGGCCAGGCUGAAACGUGCAUACUCCACAGGAUGUGCAGUUCUGGCCUCCUCGCCUCCAAAAAUCACCACAGAGGAAAAGAAAGGCACACAGAAAGAUGAUUGAGAUGAUGAGAGGAAGAUUAAGCUGUUUAACAAGUGGAAAUCUUCAACAGAGCAGCCAGUGACUAUCCCUGGAAGGUGCCCACUCUAACUACAGUCUAGAAGAGAACGAGCAUGAGGAUACAGAGAAAACAAGAGAGAGUGGGUGUUUUUCCCAUAAGAUAUAGCACUCUGUGAGGUGAUCUUCUGUAGUAAUCACAGUAGAAAGAUGAGUUAGGAUUCAUUAAUGUCUAUCAGAUUUGCAGCACCGAGAAUGAUGCAUUCAAAUUUACGUUUGGGUACCGAUAAUAAGGAGUUUUAUCCCUAUCUCUUGAUCUAGUUCGCUUUGUAGUCAAGACUUUGUUUUUUCUUUCAAUUUAACUGUGUUAGAAACUUCAACAAUACAGCACAGACCAGAUGUUGAAGUAGAAUAAAUAGCAUUGAAUAGUUUAAAAA